Molecule: ribosomal RNA, 305 nt
Filed under: uncultured bacterium
Lineage: Bacteria
Description: bacterial SSU rRNA
Rfam family: Bacterial small subunit ribosomal RNA
Source: RNAcentral
ACCUACGGGGCGCAGCAGCCGCGGUAAUACGUAGGGAGCGAGCGUUGUCCGGAUUUACUGGGUGUAAAGGGUGCGCAGGCGGCUCUGCAAGUCAGGCGUGAAAGCUAGGGGCUCAACCCCUAAACUGCGCUUGAAACUGUGGAGCUUGAGUGAAGUAGAGGCAGGCGGAAUUCCCGGUGUAGCGGUGAAAUGCGUAGAGAUCGGGAGGAACACCAGUGGCGAAGGCGGCCUGCUGGGCUUUAACUGACGCUCAGGCACGAAAGCAUGGGUAGCAAACAGGAUUAGAAACCCCGGUAGUCCUGCGC